This is a long non-coding RNA of Xenopus tropicalis (tropical clawed frog), 244 nucleotides long. RefSeq lists it as uncharacterized. The record is from RefSeq and is a predicted model, not a curated record. The transcript is spliced from 3 exons. NCBI's taxonomy places the organism in Eukaryota, Metazoa, Chordata, Amphibia, Anura, Pipidae.
AGAAAACCCCACAGACAGACACGAUCCCUUGUUAUUUGUGUCUCACCCCAAGCAGUUGCCGGUGCCCGGCUGUAAUCCCGUGGGACCCAGUAGCACACAAUGCGCCUCAGCAUCACCUUCCUCCUCCUCCUCCUCCUCACUCUGACCUGCAGCAGCGCCCUGCGGUGUCAUUUUGAUGUUCUGGGUAUAAGAAGACCCACAACCUGUCACCCUAAUAAAACCCACUGCUUAUUAUACGAGGAUA